GUAGGUGAACCUGCGGAAGGAUCAUUAAUGAGUUCGGGGGCCUAAGCCCCUGUGGCGAGCGUCGUUCAAAUCCUCCAGGACUCGGCCGACGAUCGUCGUGUUUCUCAACCCCAUGUUUACCAUACCUUUGUUGCUUUGGCGGGCCUUGAGUAGGCUAUACGGCUCAUGCCGGCCCCAGGCUUUGUUGCCUAGGGGCGGCUCGCGCCCGCCAGAGGUUUAAACUAAAUCCUAUUUAUCAGUGAUGUCUGAG
This 250-nucleotide unclassified non-coding RNA is filed under the name plant metagenome. Its description in RNAcentral is "partial contains small subunit ribosomal RNA, internal transcribed spacer 1, and 5.8S ribosomal RNA". The record is from RNAcentral.